RNAcentral lists this ribosomal RNA (506 nucleotides) under uncultured bacterium. Its description in RNAcentral is "partial 16S ribosomal RNA". It matches the Rfam family "Bacterial small subunit ribosomal RNA", at positions 28 to 507 of the family's 1533-position model. The record is from RNAcentral.
GACGAACGCUGGCGGCGUGCUUAACACAUGCAAGUCGAACGGUGAAGGGACUGGUUUUGCUGGCCCUGGAUGAGUGGCGAACGGGUGAGUAACACGUGAGUAACCUGCCCCCUUCUUCUGGAUAACCGCAUGAAAGUGUGGCUAAUACGGGAUAUUCUGGGUCUGUCGCAUGGUGGGCCUGGGAAAGAUUGCGCCUUUUUUGGUGUUUUUGGUGGGGGAUGGGCUCGCGGCCUAUCAGCUUGUUGGUGGGGUGAUGGCCUACCAAGGCGGUGACGGGUAGCCGGCCUGAGAGGGUGGACGGUCACACUGGGACUGAGACACGGCCCAGACUCCUACGGGAGGCAGCAGUGGGGAAUAUUGCACGAUGGGCGCAAGCCUGAUGCAGCGACGCCGCGUGAGGGAUGGAGGCCUUCGGGUUGUGAACCUCUUUCGCCAGUGAAGCAGGCCUGCCUCUUUUUGUGGGUGGGUUGACGGUAGCUGGAUAAGAAGCGCCGGCUAAUUACGUG